UACGUAGGAGGCGAGCGUUGUCCGGAUUUACUGGGCGUAAAGAGCGCGCAGGCGGUCGUUCAAGUCGCGUGUGAAAGCCCCCGGCUCAACUGGGGAGGGUCACGCGAUACUGAUCGACUCGAAGGCAGGAGAGGGUAGUGGAAUUCCCGGUGUAGUGGUGAAAUGCGUAGAUAUCGGGAGGAACACCAGUGGCGAAGGCGACUACCUGGCCUGUUCUUGACGCUGAGGCGCGAAAGCUAGGGGAGCAAACGGG
RNAcentral lists this ribosomal RNA (253 nucleotides) under uncultured bacterium. RNAcentral's name for it is "partial 16S ribosomal RNA". It matches the Rfam family "Bacterial small subunit ribosomal RNA", at positions 524 to 776 of the family's 1533-position model. The record is from RNAcentral.